This 375-nucleotide long non-coding RNA is filed under the name Equus asinus (donkey). Its description in RNAcentral is "lncRNA (ENSEASG00005024143.1)". The record is from RNAcentral. Lineage: Eukaryota; Metazoa; Chordata; Mammalia; Perissodactyla; Equidae.
UUUCCUUAAAUCAAUCCACUACUUAACUACAUUUACGUGAAGAAGGAAACUUUAUGUCACUAUAGUAAAUGGGAGACUGAUUUACUUGCUGCAGGCAGAAAGAAACUGUGAAAAUAAAUACUGGCAGAAAUUCAGACCACUUCUCAGAGACUUCCAGGAACUUGGAGAAACACAGCUUCCCCGAGGGAGAGCCAAGAGCCCAGUGACAUUUCCUGUCAAAUGUCCAAGGCGAACUCCAGGUCCAGAGUGUCAGCCCUGGUAUGUGGCACUGCGAUCAGCCGUUGGAAGGAUUAUCUGCCACUUGUUUCCAGUGCUUUCCCAGUAGCCUUCUGAAAGCCAGCGGGGGUUCCGCCUGGUCAGAAAAGACCUCUUUCA